Molecule: ribosomal RNA, 521 nt
Filed under: uncultured bacterium
Lineage: Bacteria
Description: bacterial SSU rRNA
Rfam family: Bacterial small subunit ribosomal RNA
Source: RNAcentral
CCAGAGAAUUUGGCAGAGAUGCCUUAGUGCCUUCGGGAACUCUGAGACAGGUGCUGCAUGGCUGUCGUCAGCUCGUGUUGUGAAAUGUUGGGUUAAGUCCCGCAACGAGCGCAACCCUUAUCCUUUGUUGCCAGCGAUUCGGUCGGGAACUCAAAGGAGACUGCCGGUGAUAAACCGGAGGAAGGUGGGGAUGACGUCAAGUCAUCAUGGCCCUUACGGCCAGGGCUACACACGUGCUACAAUGGCGCAUACAAAGAGAAGCGACCUCGCGAGAGCAAGCGGACCUCAUAAAGUGCGUCGUAGUCCGGAUUGGAGUCUGCAACUCGACUCCAUGAAGUCGGAAUCGCUAGUAAUCGUAGAUCAGAAUGCUACGGUGAAUACGUUCCCGGGCCUUGUACACACCGCCCGUCACACCAUGGGAGUGGGUUGCAAAAGAAGUAGGUAGCUUAACCUUCGGGAGGGCGCUUACCACUUUGUGAUUCAUGACUGGGGUGAAGUCGUAACAAGGUAGGCGUAGCGAG